GAUGAACGCUGGCGGCGUGCCUAAUACAUGCAAGUCGAGCGAACAGAUGAGGAGCUUGCUCCUCUGACGUUAGCGGCGGACGGGUGAGUAACACGUGGAUAACCUACCUAUGAGACUGGGAUAACUUCGGGAAACCGGAGCUAAUACCGGAUAAUAUAUUGAACCGCAUGGUUCAAUAGUGAAAGACGGUUUUGCUGUCACUUAUAGAUGGAUCCGCGCCGCAUUAGCUAGUUGGUAAGGUAACGGCUUACCAAGGCAACGAUGCGUAGCCGACCUGAGAGGGUGAUCGGCCACACUGGAACUGAGACACGGUCCAGACUCCUACGGGAGGCAGCAGUAGGGAAUCUUCCGUAAUGGGCGAAAGCCUGACGGAGCAACGCCGCGUGAGUGAUGAAGGUCUUCGGAUCGUAAAACUCUGUUAUUAGGGAAGAACAAAUGUGUAAGUAACUAUGCACGUCUUGACGGUACCUAAUCAGAAAGCCACGGCUAACUACGUG
RNAcentral lists this ribosomal RNA (497 nucleotides) under uncultured bacterium. RNAcentral describes it as "partial 16S ribosomal RNA". It matches the Rfam family "Bacterial small subunit ribosomal RNA", at positions 28 to 507 of the family's 1533-position model. The record is from RNAcentral.